UCAGGAUGAACGCUAGCUACAGGCUUAACACAUGCAAGUCGAGGGGCAGCAUGGAACUUAGCUUGCUAAGUUUCGAUGGCGACCGGCGCACGGGUGAGUAACACGUAUCCAACCUACCGUUUACUACGGGAUAGCCUUCUGAAAAGGAGAUUAAUACCGUAUGGCAUUCUAAAGUUUCAUGACAUUAGAAUUAAAGGUUUACCGGUAAUCGAUGGGGAUGCGUUCCAUUAGAUAGUAGGCGGGGUAACGGCCCACCUAGUCAGCGAUGGAUAGGGGUUCUGAGAGGAAGGUCCCCCACAUUGGAACUGAGACACGGUCCAAAUCCUACGGGAGGCAGCAGUGAGGAAUAUUGGUCAAUGGGCGCGAGCCUGAACCAGCCAAGUAGCGUGAAGGAUGACUGCCCUAUGGGUUGUAAACUUCUUUUAUAAAGGAAUAAAGUGGUCCACGUGUGGAUUUUUGUAUGUACUUUAUGAAUAAGGAUCGGCUAACUCCGUGCCAGCAGCCGCGGUAAUACGGAGGAUCCAAGCGUUAUCCGGAUUUAUUGGGUUUAAAGGGAGCGUAGAUGGAUGUUUAAGUCAGUUGUGAAAGUUCGGGGCUCAACCCCGGAAUUGCAGUUGAUACUGUAUAUCUUGAGUACAGUUGAGGUAGGCGGAAUUCGUGGUGUAGCGGUGAAAUGCUUAGAUAUCACGAAGAACUCCGAUUGCGAAGGCAGCUUACUAAGCUGUAACUGACAUUGAGGCUCGAAAGUGUGGGUAUCAAACAGGAUUAGAUACCCUGGUAGUCCACACGGUAAACUAUGGAUACUCGCUGUAGGCGAUACACAGUCUGCGGCCAAGCGAAAGCAUUAAGUAUCCCACCUGGGGAGUACGCCGGCAACGGUGAAACUCAAAGGAAUUGACGGGGGCCCGCACAAGCGGAGGAACAUGUGGUUUAAUUCGAUGAUACGCGAGGAACCUUACCCGGGCUUAAAUUGCAACUGAAUAGCUGAGAGAUCAGUUAGCUAGCAAUAGCAGUUGUGAAGGUGCUGCAUGGUUGUCGUCAGCUCGUGCCGUGAGGUGUCGGCUUAAGUGCCAUAACGAGCGCAACCCUUGUCGAUAGUUACUAACAGAUAAUGCUGAGGACUCUAUCGAGACUGCCAUCGUAAGAUGUGAGGAAGGUGGA
RNAcentral lists this ribosomal RNA (1161 nucleotides) under uncultured Bacteroides sp. RNAcentral describes it as "bacterial SSU rRNA". It matches the Rfam family "Bacterial small subunit ribosomal RNA", at positions 24 to 1177 of the family's 1533-position model. Lineage: Bacteria; Pseudomonadati; Bacteroidota; Bacteroidia; Bacteroidales; Bacteroidaceae. The record is from RNAcentral.